CAUAGGUUAAUGAGGCGAACCGGGGGAACUGAAACAUCUAAGUACCCCGAGGAAAAGAAAUCAACCGAGAUUCCCCCAGUAGCGGCGAGCGAACGGGGAGGAGCCCAGAGCCUGAAUCAGUGUGUGUGUUAGUGGAAGCGUCUGGAAAGGCGCGCGAUACAGGGUGACAGCCCCGUACACAAAAAUGCACAUAUUGUGAGCUCGAUGAGUAGGGCGGGACACGUGGUAUCCUGUCUGAAUAUGGGGGGACCAUCCUCCAAGGCUAAAUACUCCUGACUGACCGAUAGUGAACCAGUACCGUGAGGGAAAGGCGAAAAGAACCCCGGCGAGGGGAGUGAAAAAGAACCUGAAACCGUGUACGUACAAGCAGUGGGAGCCUCUUAAUGGGGUGACUGCGU
This 398-nucleotide ribosomal RNA is filed under the name Escherichia coli. Its description in RNAcentral is "partial 23S ribosomal RNA". It matches the Rfam family "Bacterial large subunit ribosomal RNA", at positions 165 to 602 of the family's 2925-position model. Lineage: Bacteria; Pseudomonadati; Pseudomonadota; Gammaproteobacteria; Enterobacterales; Enterobacteriaceae. The record is from RNAcentral.